UGGAUAGAUUUGGAGAACGUAAAGUCUGGCCAGCUUCAUAUCAAGGUGACACGUCUCAGGCUACUUUCAGACCCAACCCAACUGGAAGAGGUAAAGUCUCUGUUCCUUUACGCUGGCUACCGUGGAAAUACGUUGGAAUGUUUUGUUGGUGCAUCUAAUUUUUUUUUGGUUUUCCAGGUGCUGAAAGUAAAUGAACAAUCUCGGCCAAAAAGAGAAAAUGAGAUUGCUUCAGCCGUUUUAUACACCUAUAUUGAAAAAGGAAGGGGUCUGCCUGUUAUACAAGUGAAGAAGGACAAUCUGAAAGCGUUAGCUGUCGUGCAGGUUGGCGUUGAAGACAAUGUAAAGAAGAUUGGAAGCAGAAUAAAUAACGGAGAAGCAGAGUGGAAAAAGAGGUUCCAGUUCUUGAUAAGGAACCCACUUACUGAGGAACUGAAGCUUAAGGUGAGUACAAAUGGGCUUUUCUUACGGCUGCUGUUGUACCCAUGUAGGGUACUGUGUUGUGUUUCUUUGCUUUCUGACCCACUUAUGACCGGUAUUUUCACAGGUUCACAAUGAACACAAUAAGCCCAUCGGAAGUAUUACUGUGCGCCUAUCUCGCCUUCUGGCUGCUUCGGAAAUGACCUUGCAGGACUGGCUGCCCCUGGAAUCAACUGAACAGAAUAGUGAAAUCCGGGUGAAAUUACAAUUGAGGAUUUUGACCCCUGAUGUUGGAGCUCCAUCGCCCCAAGGAAAGACCAAGGCUCAAUAUAUCAAACCACGGACCAAGAAG
Long non-coding RNA from Xenopus laevis (African clawed frog), 769 nucleotides. RefSeq lists it as uncharacterized. The transcript is spliced from 4 exons. Lineage: Eukaryota; Metazoa; Chordata; Amphibia; Anura; Pipidae. The record is from RefSeq and is a predicted model, not a curated record.